This is a non-coding RNA of Danio rerio (zebrafish), 758 nucleotides long. The record is from Ensembl. NCBI's taxonomy places the organism in Eukaryota, Metazoa, Chordata, Actinopteri, Cypriniformes, Danionidae.
GCAAAAUCUACUAGAAGGGCUGAAACACAAAGCCCGGUUCUCCCGGAGCUCAUUACUCUGCUCGCAGCCUUUGUGGACCGGGGGAGAGGCCCGGGGGAAGCGUACAUUCUGUCCAGGCCACUCGGGGUGUGUGCUGUGCGGUUCCAGCAGGUGCCAGGCACGGGGAGAGGCUUCAGUCCUGCGGCGCUGACCCGGGACGCACUCGGCCAGCACUGAUGGAUUCCUCACCGUCUUCUGGCUCCUCCUCCGGGCACAAGCAGGAGCAGGAGUCUCACAUUUAUUUACGAUAAAUCCCCUGAUGGAGCUCCUGGACUCCACUGUCAUACAUCAGCUGUGUUUGAUGUGGGGCUGCUGGUGUCCACGGGUGGGCUGGAGAUGGACUUCCUCACCGCUAGCCAUCAUCAAUCCUGCCGUCGGACCGCAGAUCUGCACCUCUGCCCUCUUGACCACUGUGACGUACAGCCAUCCGUCACGCCAGUCUGGCUCCUGAAAGCCUAUACAUCUUCCCAACUGGUGCUUUUACAUAUAGUACGCCAAAGAUUAAACUGACUGUAAUCGUGUGGCUUCGUUUUUUCAUUUUUCAGGUUAAAGUGAUGUUUAUAGCCUGAACUAGGGUAAUUAAGUCAUUGUAUAACGAUUUGUUCUGUAAUAUGCUAAUAAUAUUGACCUUAACAUUUAAAAAACGAUUUUAUUUUAGCCUAAAUAAAACAAAUAAGGCUUUUUACCAGAAGAAAAAAUAUUAAAGGAAAUACUGUGGA